This is a non-coding RNA of Caenorhabditis elegans, 131 nucleotides long. Lineage: Eukaryota; Metazoa; Nematoda; Chromadorea; Rhabditida; Rhabditidae. The record is from Ensembl.
AAUGAGAAGAAGCAGCGACGACUACCCUAGCAAAUGAAAAGCCGAGGCUGAUGGCGUCGUUCUGCACAUGAAAAAUAGAACAAUUUGGGUUGGGACCACAGGCCCCCGCCGCCGUUUCACUCCUCAUCAAU